Hibiscus syriacus is the source of this 394-nucleotide long non-coding RNA. RefSeq lists it as uncharacterized. NCBI's taxonomy places the organism in Eukaryota, Viridiplantae, Streptophyta, Magnoliopsida, Malvales, Malvaceae. The transcript is spliced from 3 exons. The record is from RefSeq and is a predicted model, not a curated record.
UGCAUCAAAUUCAAUGUAGUAUUAUGGAAACAAUGGCGAAUUUGAUGACGAAGUUCAGAAUGGCUUCCAAUUAACCCUUCAGUGAAGGUGCUUUUCCCGUACCCUUUCAAAGUGCUUCGACCACAACAAAUGAACACUCCCAAAAUCCAUUCGGAAACAUGAAUCAUAUGGUAUCAAAGCUAGCAGAUCCAACAUCUCAAGGCUUGCACGGAACUGGAAUUAUGAGCAGAGGUUCGGCUUAUGAAAAAGAGUCACCAAAAUCUCCCGCUGAGACAUCUUUUGGAACUCGAACAGAAAAGGUUCUUAAUAGUUUUUUGCAAAAUCCGAUUUUGAAGGAAGAUGGAACCAGGCUAAAUGAACUAGCCGGCCGGUUACAAACAGAAAACAACAUGCU